GUGGCGACCGGCGCACGGGUGAGUAACGCGUAUGCAACCUACCUUUAACUGGGGGAUAGCCCGGGGAAACUCGGAUUAAUACCCCAUAACAUUAUGAAUUCGCAUGGAUUUAUAAUUAAAGUUCCGGCGGUUAAAGAUGGGCAUGCGUGCCAUUAGAUAGUUGGUGAGGUAACGGCUCACCAAGUCUUCGAUGGCUACGGGGUCUUAAAGGAUGAUCCCGCACACUGGUACUGAGACACGGACCAGACUCC
RNAcentral lists this ribosomal RNA (251 nucleotides) under uncultured bacterium. RNAcentral's name for it is "partial 16S ribosomal RNA". It matches the Rfam family "Bacterial small subunit ribosomal RNA", at positions 88 to 339 of the family's 1533-position model. The record is from RNAcentral.